This 555-nucleotide ribosomal RNA is filed under the name Lactarius picinus. RNAcentral describes it as "eukaryotic LSU rRNA". The stretch from base 259 to 412 matches the Rfam family "5.8S ribosomal RNA". The record is from RNAcentral. Lineage: Eukaryota; Fungi; Basidiomycota; Agaricomycetes; Russulales; Russulaceae.
UCGUAACAAGGUUUCCGUAGGUGAACCUGCGGAAGGAUCAUUAUCGUAACAAAGACGUGGGAGGUGCUUGAAGGCUGUCGCCGACUCGAAAGGGUCGUGCACGCUGGAAGGUGUCCUCUUGCGUGAAAUCCAUCUCACCCCUUUUGUGCACCACCGCGUGGGCUCCCUCCUCGAGGGGGCUCGCGUUUUUCAUACAAACCCCUUUGUAAAUGUCUGUAGAAUGUCCUCAUUUUGUUUGCGUUGACACGCGAUCAAUACAACUUUCAACAACGGAUCUCUUGGCUCUCGCAUCGAUGAAGAACGCAGCGAAAUGCGAUACGUAAUGUGAAUUGCAGAAUUCAGUGAAUCAUCGAAUCUUUGAACGCACCUUGCGCCCCUUGGUAUUCCGAGGGGCACACCCGUUUGAGUGUCGUGAAAAUCUCAACCUUCUUGGUUUCUUUUGAACGCCAAGGAGGCUUGGACUUUGGAGGGCUUUGCUGGACUUGAAAGGUCAGCUCCUCUCAAAUGAAUUAGCGAGGUCCCCUUUGCCGAUCCUCGACGUGUGAUAAGAUGCUU